GAUGAACGCUGGCGGCGUGCUUAACACAUGCAAGUCGAACGAUGAAGCCCAGCUUGCUGGGUGGAUUAGUGGCGAACGGGUGAGUAACACGUGAGUAACCUGCCCUUGACUCUGGGAUAAGCCUGGGAAACUGGGUCUAAUACUGGAUAUGACUUCUCAUCGCAUGGUGGGGGGUGGAAAGAUUUAUUGGUCUUGGAUGGACUCGCGGCCUAUCAGCUUGUUGGUGAGGUAAUGGCUCACCAAGGCGACGACGGGUAGCCGGCCUGAGAGGGUGACCGGCCACACUGGGACUGAGACACGGCCCAGACUCCUACGGGAGGCAGCAGUGGGGAAUACUGCACAAUGGGCGCAAGCCUGAUGCAGCGACGCCGCGUGAGGGAUGACGGCCUUCGGGUUGUAAACCUCUUUCAGUAGGGAAGAAGCGAGAGUGACGGUACCUGCAGAAGAAGCGCCGGCUAACUACGUG
This 466-nucleotide ribosomal RNA is filed under the name uncultured bacterium. Its description in RNAcentral is "partial 16S ribosomal RNA". It matches the Rfam family "Bacterial small subunit ribosomal RNA", at positions 28 to 507 of the family's 1533-position model. The record is from RNAcentral.